Molecule: ribosomal RNA, 135 nt
Organism: Denticeps clupeoides (denticle herring)
Lineage: Eukaryota; Metazoa; Chordata; Actinopteri; Clupeiformes; Denticipitidae
Source: Ensembl
GCUUACGGCUAUACCAGCCCAAGAACGCCCGGUCUCAUCUGAUCUUGGUCUCGUCUGAUCUCGGAAGCUAAGAAGGCUUGGGCCUGGUUAGUACUUGGAUGGGAGAACUCCUGGGAAUACCAGGUGCUGUAAGCU